Molecule: small RNA, 125 nt
Filed under: Marmota monax (woodchuck)
Lineage: Eukaryota; Metazoa; Chordata; Mammalia; Rodentia; Sciuridae
Source: RNAcentral
GCUGGGUGUGGUGGUGCAAGCCUGUAAUUCCAGCAGCUCGGGAGGCUGAGACAGGAGGGUCAUGAGUUCAAAGCCAGCCUCAGCAAAAGCCAGGCACUAAGCAACUCAGUGAGACCCUGUCUCUA